AGAUGAGGAUAUUCCUGCAGGAGGGGACAAGAACGAUACCAAAGCUGUCCAAGUCGAGGAAAAGUUCCAGACUGAGAAUUCCCAUCUGAAACGUCUGGAACUGGAGAUAGACCAGAUGAAGAAAAAACUUAGUCAAAUGGAAGAAGAAGGGUAUGGGGAUAAAGAUCAUAUUGUUCCCCCAAAGACAGACAAUCUGGAGUUCUUGCUGAAGAAAGAG
This is a long non-coding RNA of Lingula anatina, 217 nucleotides long. NCBI's taxonomy places the organism in Eukaryota, Metazoa, Brachiopoda, Lingulata, Lingulida, Lingulidae. The record is from RefSeq and is a predicted model, not a curated record.